RNAcentral lists this long non-coding RNA (746 nucleotides) under Rattus norvegicus (Norway rat). RNAcentral describes it as "long non-coding RNA NONRATT010935". Lineage: Eukaryota; Metazoa; Chordata; Mammalia; Rodentia; Muridae. The record is from RNAcentral.
GAAGUUCAUCGAGGUGCCAAGUGGGAAGAGCCUUCUUGCCUCAGUAUGGGCAGCAGCACACUGCUAAAGAGCAGAAACCGGAAAGACAGGGCUUCUCUGGGUUACAUUCCUGGCUAUUCAGAAGUUCACUUUGUAGACCAAGUUGGCCUCAAAUCCAGAUACCCACCUCACUCUGCCUCGUGAGUGCGAUGAUUAAAGAAAAGGUUUAUCUGUGUAGCCCUGGCUGUCCUGAAACUUCCUUUGUAGACCAGGCCAGCCUUGAACUCAGAGGUCUGCCUACCUCUGCCUCCUGAGUGAUGUGAUUAAAGGUGUGUGCCACCAUGCCUGGCUGGAACAGUCGUAAACGGGAUAUCUUCAUCAAACUCCUCUUGUCAGGCACAUCGAACUGUAUCACCAGACAAAAACUUGGUACAGACAAGUGGAUUCAGAAACCCCUGCACUCUCAUACCUGGGGAUGGUAGGAGUUUCAUCUACCAGGUUCCCGUCCGGGAACACAUGACUAAAACACCCCAUGGAGAGGACCGUGACACAUAAGGGCAGUGACCAAAGCCCCUCCACAUACAGAUGAGGCAUCCGUAACAUUUCAGAGCAAGCCAAUAGAUAGCAUCUACUCACAGACCUCAACCCACACCAGAAUGUAUGUAAGACGCUGUCCACAAGGAAUAAAACACACGAGCUACUUCACCAAGAACUGUCUGAGACCCUCUGUCUUACAGAGCUGUAACACUUUGAGGACGAGAAUUCUC